Molecule: ribosomal RNA, 303 nt
Filed under: uncultured bacterium
Lineage: Bacteria
Description: partial 16S ribosomal RNA
Rfam family: Bacterial small subunit ribosomal RNA
Source: RNAcentral
AGCAGUCGCCGCGGGAAUACAGAGGGUGCGAGCGUUAAUCGGAUUUACUGGGCGUAAAGCGUGCGUAGGCGGCUUCUUAAGUCGGAUGUGAAAUCCCUGAGCUUAACUUAGGAAUUGCAUUCGAUACUGGGAAGCUAGAGUAUGGGAGAGGAUGGUAGAAUUCCAGGUGUAGCGGUGAAAUGCGUAGAGAUCUGGAGGAAUACCGAUGGCGAAGGCAGCCAUCUGGCCUAAUACUGACGCUGAGGUACGAAAGCAUGGGGAGCAAACAGGAUUAGAGACCCCCGUAGUCCCUGUCUCUUAUAC